GUCGAGGGGAAACGACAUCGAAAGCUUGCUUUUGAUGGGCGUCGACCGGCGCACGGGUGAGUAACGCGUAUCCAACCUGCCCACCACUUGGGGAUAACCUUGCGAAAGUAAGACUAAUACCCAAUGACGUCUCUAGAAGACAUCUGAAAGAGAUUAAAGAUUUAUCGGUGAUGGAUGGGGAUGCGUCUGAUUAGCUUGUUGGCGGGGUAACGGCCCACCAAGGCGACGAUCAGUAGGGGUUCUGAGAGGAAGGUCCCCCACAUUGGAACUGAGACACGGUCCAAACUCCUACGGGAGGCAGCAGUGAGGAAUAUUGGUCAAUGGGCGAGAGCCUGAACCAGCCAAGUAGCGUGCAGGAUGACGGCCCUAUGGGUUGUAAACUGCUUUUAUAAGGGAAUAAAGUGAGUCUCGUGAGACUUUUUGCAUGUACCUUAUGAAUAAGGACCGGCUAAUUCCGUGCCAGCAGCCGCGGUAAUACGGAAGGUCCG
Molecule: ribosomal RNA, 488 nt
Filed under: uncultured Bacteroidota bacterium
Lineage: Bacteria; Pseudomonadati; Bacteroidota
Description: bacterial SSU rRNA
Rfam family: Bacterial small subunit ribosomal RNA
Source: RNAcentral